AUUGAAACACCGGUUCUCGUAUGAUCACCGAAGUUAAACAACGUCGAGCCUGCUCAGUACCUAGAUGGGUAACCGCUUGCGAAUUCUAGG
Non-coding RNA from Acanthosepion pharaonis, 90 nucleotides. The record is from the annotation of a GenBank genome assembly. Lineage: Eukaryota; Metazoa; Mollusca; Cephalopoda; Sepiida; Sepiidae.